CAUUUUUGCUUCAUUUUGCGUCGUACAAGUAAGAAGGUGGAUGGCGUCCCUUUGUUAAAGAAAAAGUGAUUGUGUUUCCCGUUAAUUUUUGAAAAAUUUUUUCGCAGAGUGUGUGUAAAACAAACAAUUUAUCGAGGGGAAGGUUUUAAAGAAGAACCGACGAUGGCGUCGGAACAAUUUUCGUUAUGUUGGGACAAUUUCCACAAGAAUAUGAGUUCGGGAAUGAACUCAUUGCUGGAAAAUGAAGAUUUGGUGGAUGUAACGCUAGCCGUCGAGGGCAAGUGCCUGAAAGCUCAUAAGAUGGUUUUGUCAGUGUGUAGUCCUUAUUUCAAAGAACUUUUUAAGUCUAAUCCGUGUCAGCAUCCUAUCGUAUUUAUGAAGGACGUUAGUUACGUAGCUUUAAGUGAUUUAUUACAAUUUAUGUACCAAGGAGAAGUACAAGUUAGUCAAGAAAAUUUAACUACCUUUAUUAAGACUGCAGAGGCCUUGCAAAUUAAAGGACUCACCGGUGACGGCAAUGGCUCCGCCGACACCGACCCCAUCGAAACCCCCCAGGAGAAACCUGUGCACCAAAUCGAGGAGUACAAACCCAUGCCUCGACCUAAAAAGCAACAACCGGCCACGGUAACCACACAGUCAACCCCUGUAAAACGCCCCCGCCUUAGUGUCUCAUCGACAGAUUCCCAACCACUGCCUCCUGCAGUAGCGAAAUCAGAGCCGGUUGCCUCUGUACCUUCCGGGGGUAGUAGCGAACCUGUACAGUUUAAAAUGGAACCCUAUGACCAAACACAGUCUUUGAUAGAUGAAACUGGUGAUGAAAAUUUCGGUGAUGAUAACUUGGACGAUGCGAAUGUUGAUGACACGGAGGACUAUUCUAUGAUGGAAGGUGGUACGGGUGAGGAGGAACCACAGGCCGGAACGAGUACGGACGGAGCUGGAGAAGGACAAGAAGACCAGCGAAAAAAGAAAUCUGGCUACGCAAAAUAUGGGUAUCAGAAGCCUCAGAUACCGCUAGGAAGGGCAGGAAAGUUAGAUUUUGGGGAUGGAUUUUUGUAUGUUAAAAAGAUACAAUGUACACCUCAAAAAUUAUAUGUAAGGUGUGCUAUGAAGUACGAAACAGGUUGCAAAGGAUCCUAUGCAGUGCCAGUUAAUAGCGAUGGAAGUUAUAAUACAGAAAAUAUGAGAUGUAUUACUCCACACAACCAUCCCCCAAAUGAACUGGCUGUUAGAACUGAAAAGUUCUUGGGCGAACUGCUGAAAGCGGUUGAAGUAAUGUCCGGAACAACUCGCGAUAUUUAUAACUUCGUAGCGCAAUCUUUCCCAGAUGUCGCGAGGGUUUAUAGUUAUCAAAGUGUUGUUCCCAGAAUGCAUCGUUGGCUGAAAAAGCUGAAGGAAAAUCGUACAUAAUAUUGUACCUGUCUUUUGUGCAGUUAUAUUGCUUUUUUAUUAAAGUGCUUUGUAAAUAAUUCAGAGUUUAAUAAUCCAUUUAGUCUUAUAUGAUUUUCAACCUAAUAACAGUCAAUCAAAGCAUAUAGCACUGAUUAACCAAGCUAGAUCAGAAUGAAUCGUUUUCAAAAGCUCACAAGAGACACUCAAAGCUGGACUUUAACGAUGGAUUUCUUUACUU
This is an RNA transcript of Anoplophora glabripennis (Asian longhorned beetle), 1627 nucleotides long. It is a transcript of the gene named protein tramtrack, beta isoform, with no coding region annotated. The record is from RefSeq and is a predicted model, not a curated record. The transcript has 7 exons. NCBI's taxonomy places the organism in Eukaryota, Metazoa, Arthropoda, Insecta, Coleoptera, Cerambycidae.